UCUCUGCCCUCUCCUCUCCCCAGUGCGGAAGGAAUGCAAUCGCUUACGGUUAGAUGAAGAAAUGGGCAAGUUCUGAGCUUAACUUACUUAAGUGCGUCUAGGGUCAGGCGGUACUUAAGGGAAUCUAACUCUUCAAGGACUCUUAACUCCCGUUCCCUCUUAAGACAGAAAGAAAGAUCGGGCCGGGGACACCGGUAUACUGUACUAAUAUGAGUCAGGAAAGGAAGCGAGCUCGACUAUCGACUAUUAAGGAAAGGAAAGCUGCUAGCUUAGCUCACGCGAAGCUGAGGGUCCUUAAGGAGCGCCCUAAUCGAAAUCGAAUAAGGUAAGGAGAGAGGACAAGGGGGCUUACGUGAAGCGUGAGGAAGCUUGGCUCAUUAAAGAUUCGAAGGAGAGCACAGAAAUAGAAGUGCUUUUAUCGAUCGGCUUGAUUGAACGGCUGGCUUGAUUGAGUACCGUAACUACAAUACAAUAGCUUUCUUGAGCUUGAGUAGACCGUUCGCUUUAGGGAAAAAGUAGCUCCCGGGGAUUGAAUCGCUUUUAUCCCCUAACAUAGUAAUGUGAGCUUGAUCAAAAUCCUUUCCUCCUUUAUAUUAGUAAGGCCUUUACUGGAAUACUGUGCUUGCUGCUUAUGGCUCACGAUCCCUUACCUCAGCCCUUUCCAGUCUCCUUGCUCUCAAUGCCCGAGAUGCCCCCUAUUUGAGUUUGAGUAAGGUGGUCUAUCAUAAAGCGAUAGGGUAGGGCGCCUUAUUGAAAACUAAAGUCAAGCAAAAUAAAGGGUUAGAUCCAGUACAGAUGUUGAAGAAAGCCUUACUUUACUCCUUUACAAAAAAACUGGAUGAGGGUUGGGUGGAACAGCCUUUAUUCAAGCAGUUCCCUGCCAAUCGAAGACCUUUUAGAAUGGAAGCUGCCUGGUUCUCUCAUGAAGACUUCGGCAAUUUAGUCAGGCGGGUCUGGGAACAACAGGAUCAAUCUCUGCAGAGUACUCUGGCCUCCUUCAAGGAGUCUUGUCUGGGGAGAACUUACGAAGAAGAGACGGCUUCUCAAGCGAAUUGAAGGCAUUCAGAAGUACCUCAGGCUCGAUCUUUCCCCUUGUUCGGUAGUAGCCUCGAUGCCGUAAUUCCAAGGCACAGCAUGAUUUCCCGUGUAAGGUUCCAAUUGAGGGAGGCUGAUAGUGAUGGGUCCCUUCGAGGGUGGAUAGGUGAUAACAAUCGGUUUUGGGAUGGGUCUGAGUGUUAG
Molecule: long non-coding RNA, 1239 nt
Filed under: Fragaria vesca (wild strawberry)
Lineage: Eukaryota; Viridiplantae; Streptophyta; Magnoliopsida; Rosales; Rosaceae
Description: long non-coding RNA (FVES_LNC004287)
Source: RNAcentral